GCCAGUAUCACGGGGUGCCUGUUUAUAGGUUAUAGGCUGAGAAAAAACCCGCAAUACCUGAUCCGGGUGAUGCCGGCGUAGGGAUGAUAUCAGCGCUUCUG
This 101-nucleotide non-coding RNA is filed under the name Terasakiispira papahanaumokuakeensis. Its description in RNAcentral is "TPP sequence". It matches the Rfam family "TPP riboswitch aptamer (THI element)". Rfam says of the family: Vitamin B(1) in its active form thiamin pyrophosphate (TPP) is an essential coenzyme that is synthesised by coupling of pyrimidine and thiazole moieties in bacteria. The previously detected thiamin-regulatory element, thi box was extended, resulting in a new, highly conserved RNA secondary structure, the THI element, which is widely distributed in eubacteria and also occurs in some archaea. The record is from Rfam by way of RNAcentral. Lineage: Bacteria; Pseudomonadati; Pseudomonadota; Gammaproteobacteria; Oceanospirillales.